This 257-nucleotide ribosomal RNA is filed under the name uncultured Fusobacterium sp. Its description in RNAcentral is "partial 16S ribosomal RNA". It matches the Rfam family "Bacterial small subunit ribosomal RNA", at positions 99 to 353 of the family's 1533-position model. The record is from RNAcentral. Lineage: Bacteria; Fusobacteriati; Fusobacteriota; Fusobacteriia; Fusobacteriales; Fusobacteriaceae.
CGGACGGGUGAGUAACGCGUAAAGAACUUGCCUCAUAGUCUGGGACAACAUUUGGAAACGGAUGCUAAUACCGGAUAUUAUGCUUUCUUCGCAUGGAGGAAGUAUGAAAGCUAUAUGCGCUAUGAGAGAGCUUUGCGUCCCAUUAGCUAGUUGGUGAGGUAACGGCCCACCAAGGCGAUGAUGGGUAGCCGGCCUGAGAGGGUGAACGGCCACAAGGGGACUGAGACACGGCCCUUACUCCUACGGGAGGCAGCGCG